UAAACAUGGCCAAGUCAAAGAAUCAUACCAAUCACAAUCAGAACCGAAAGGCUCAUCGUAAUCCUAUCCGGAAACCCAAGAUUCCAAGACACCCAUCAAUGCGAGGUGU
Long non-coding RNA from Macrobrachium nipponense, 109 nucleotides. RefSeq lists it as uncharacterized. The transcript has 2 exons. The record is from RefSeq and is a predicted model, not a curated record. NCBI's taxonomy places the organism in Eukaryota, Metazoa, Arthropoda, Malacostraca, Decapoda, Palaemonidae.